UGUACUCUGUGUACGGGAUGAUUGAGCGUUGCUGAUAACGCAGCGUUUUUGACGUUACCGUAGUAGAAAGCCCCAGCUAACUACGUGCCAGCAGCUGCGGUAAUACGUAGGGGGCAAGCGUUGUCCGGAAUCACUGGGCGUAAAGCGCGCGCAGGCGGUGGAAUAAGUCAGACGUGAAAGGGUUCGGCUCAACCGAGCCAUUGCGUUUGAUACUGUUUCACUUGAGUCUAGAAGAGGAAAGUGGAAUGUAUGGUGUAGCGGUGGAAUGCUUAGAUAUCAUAUAGAACACCCGUGGCGAAGGCGGCUUUCUGGUCUAAGACUGACGCUCAUGCGCGAAAGUUUGGGGAGCAACCGGGAUUAGAUACCCCGCUAGUCCUUACUGUAAACGAUGGGUACUAAGUGUAGGGGGUGUUGAUUCCCUCUGUGCUGUAGCUAACGCAUUAAGUACCCCGCCUGGGGAGUACGGCCGCAAGGUUAAAACUCAAGGUAAUUGACGGGGGGCCGCACAAGCGGUGGAGCAUGUCGCUCAAUUCGACGCACGCGAAGAACCUUAUCCAGGGCUUGACAUCGCAGUGACUGCUAU
RNAcentral lists this ribosomal RNA (583 nucleotides) under uncultured Poribacteria bacterium. Its description in RNAcentral is "bacterial SSU rRNA". It matches the Rfam family "Bacterial small subunit ribosomal RNA", at positions 429 to 1002 of the family's 1533-position model. Lineage: Bacteria; Candidatus Poribacteria. The record is from RNAcentral.